GCCUGAUCCAGCCAUACCGCGUGGGUGAAGAAGGCCUUCGGGUUGUAAAGCCCUUUUGUUGGGAAAGAAAUCCAGCUGGCUAAUACCCGGUUGGGAUGACGGUACCCAAAGAAUAAGCACCGGCUAACUUCGUGCCAGCAGCCGCGGUAAUACGAAGGGGGCUAGCGUUGUUCGGAAUUACUGGGCGUAAAGCGCACGUAGGCGGACAUUUAAGUCAGAGGUGAAAUCCCAGGGCUCAACCCUGGAACUGCCUUUGAUACUGGGUGUCUUGAGUACGAGAGAGGUGAGUGGAAUUCCGAGUGUAGAGGUGAAAUUCGUAGAUAUUCGGAAGAACACCAGUGGCGAAGGCGGCUCACUGGCUCGUAACUGACGCUGAGGUGCGAAAGCGUGGGGAGCAAACA
This 401-nucleotide ribosomal RNA is filed under the name uncultured Pleomorphomonas sp. Its description in RNAcentral is "bacterial SSU rRNA". It matches the Rfam family "Bacterial small subunit ribosomal RNA", at positions 381 to 774 of the family's 1533-position model. The record is from RNAcentral. Lineage: Bacteria; Pseudomonadati; Pseudomonadota; Alphaproteobacteria; Hyphomicrobiales; Pleomorphomonadaceae.